This 4220-nucleotide long non-coding RNA is filed under the name Homo sapiens (human). Its description in RNAcentral is "HSALNT0106668". The record is from RNAcentral. Lineage: Eukaryota; Metazoa; Chordata; Mammalia; Primates; Hominidae.
AGGGAAGCCGAGCUAAUCUCUCACCUCCCUUCUAAUUCAACACUCAGAAAGGGCAGGUAGUAGAAGAGCCCUGGAGUCAUUGCUGCCUGUUGGAAGCUCAGUCAUGCUGGUCUCCACUGAAGUUGUACCUGCAAUGGUUGGUUCUCUGGGCAGCGAUCAGAUCCUGCUAAAUGAACCCUUUCCAGGAAGGAAAAGAACAUUUUCAAGUCUGUCUGCUGAUCCCUGGAUGCCCCAGGCUUUCAUACUUGUCACCAUGCUGAUGUGCAGGUUGAAGUGUGUUUCCACACUCCACAUGUCUUCUCUCCCAGAGACGAGGUCAGACAGCUAUUUCAAAGAUGGGUUAAAAAAAAAAAAAAAGGGAGGGCAUUGCCUACCUAAUCCACAGACUGGUCACAUGUCUGAUUUGGCAAAAUGGGUGAACAAAGUGAAAACAGGGCAAUUUCCCAGGAUCCAAUAAUUUGUGGUCAUGAAGACACCAGAAAACAUGGCAGGGGAGACAGAGAACCACGACUGGGCUGAUCCGCGUGCUCCGGGACCGCCAUCUAUGGGAAAAGCCAAGAAAGCAAAGCACAAGGAGCAACAGGUGCCUCCUAGAGAACUGAAAAUGCCUUUGAGAUGAGGUGAUGCUGGGUUGAGGAGAAGUGAGCCAAUCAGAUUUGUUGAAAGCCAGCCCUCAGUAAAGGUCAUGGCAGGACACACCUCAACAUCUCAAAUUAAGUCUCAGAUGCCAUCAGGAACUCCGGCUUGACUAGAUAGGAGUGGAAUUUAAAAUGAAAGCUUUCUAACCCGGAAACCAAAACGUGGUCUCUAAUUCUGACCCUGCCUUAUUGUAGUGGUUUUUGAACAUCCUAUGACCAAUGUGUGCCUCAGUAACCCCCGUUUUCAAGGUGACUUGUUGGGAGGGUAAGAGGCAGAAUAAAAGAGAUGAUGAAAUCCACCCUGCCAGCCUCACUGGUGUCCUAUAAAUUCAGAGACGAUAACAUCAGGACAUUCUUCUGAAUUACUUAAAGAAUGACAGAGAAUAAAUAGGAUUCUUUAUGACUGCUAUUAUGAUGAAAUUCAUAAAAUUUCCUGUGGGGGUGUUUUCUGAAAUCCUGAAACACAAUUUCAUUCUCAACUAUGUAACAGUUUUCACCUUGUCAAAAUUCUUAACAGAAAGUCCCCAGGACCCCGUCAUGGGAAAUUAAACCCCUGGAGAAGUAGAAAAGCUACUAGAAUAUGUCCUUCUGACCCCAAACCAGGAGUAGGUUAGUGCGGGAAGAUGUUUCGAGUAUGUUCAGUUGUGAACUGGGUGCAGCUGGCACCCCUUAACGGAUAAAACUGGUUCCAAGAAUGAGUCAUACUGAUUAUACCCUUGGGACAUCAUUCAUAAAUAUCAUCUGUCCCCAAAGACUUCCAAAACACAGGAGUCAUGGCAAAACACACACACAUAUAUACAUGUAAGCAAGACUUCUAACAAUCAGGCCAUUGUUCGCAGCAGAAAAACCAGGCACACCCUUUAUCUAAGAUAAAAAAGAAAAUGCAAAAAGCAAUCAAAUGAAACCUAUCUUGCUUAACCUGAAAAACAGCAGUUGGAUUAAAACAUGUCUAUGAUCCAUUUUCAGCAAGCCACUUUCCUGGGAGCAUUUCAGUGAGCAGGAAGCUUUUUGGGGACAGUCCUCCCCUAAACAAUGAAGUGCUCCUUGACACCUGUACUCAUGUCCCUUUUGUGGCUAACUUCCCAAUCAGUCCCAACCUCACUGAAGGGGCACAGCAUCUGGUUAAUUAAACCUCCUUCUUUCCUGUAAAAAUAUGUUAUCAGAAAGUAGUUUUUGUUUUGUUUUGUUUUGUUUUAUUAGGGAAUACAACUUAAGAAACAAAAGUUAAUUUCAGCAUUUCAGGCACCUACAGUCUCCUGGAGAGGGGGUGAGAUGAGGUGAAGGGGUUAUGUAUAAUCUUCUCCCUAAUUCCACAAGGGAAAACCUGGAUUCAGCACCUCACAGGAUUCCCUCCCACCUCCCGCUUCAUCCCUGCACAGAGCAGAAAGUCUCUAAAGGGCCAGCCGUACACAUGGCCAUUUGGUUCGACUGUGGCAUCUUACCCUAAACAAAACUCUCCCAAGUAUGCCUUUCUACAGAAAAUGACUGGCCUGAGAAAAGCUGGCCAGCCACAUAGUGUGAAGCCAGGUGCAGAAUAUGUUCAUCCUUGCUGAGCCUGCAGCAGUGGGGUAGAAGUUGAGAGGUUUCAGACUCUGUCCCCAACCUGUUGUCCUUGCCUUCUUGUGCACACCUCAGAGGUACACAUAAAACUCUGCCCCACGGCCCCUCCCCACUGCUCUUCCCUCUACUACAUUUCAGGAGCUAGGAACUAACAGGAGCUCUGCCUGCCUCAAAUGAAAACUUCAGCGAGGCCAUCACUCCCACACCCACACCCUGCAAUAGCACCAAUCCUAAAAGAAAUCCCCCCCACACACAACUGCCUGCUCUUUAGAGGGCAUUAGACAUAACACUUCCCACUGAACACACAUCUAAUUUGCUCACGCAGAGAUAGUCACUCCAAGUAGAAACUAUUCUAGCGUUGAUUCUGCAUGUUCAAAACACUCACGCAAAGAGAGAGGGAGACAGACAGAGAGAGACAGAGAGACAGAAGGAGGGAGACAGAGUCGGAGACAGACAGAGAAGUAGAAGAAGAGAGGGACAGAGAAAGCGAGAGAGGAAAGGAAGUUUUCAUAGACCACUAGGGCUAGAAGAGACCUCCUUUUAAUUUUUUCAAUAGUUAUAGGUCAAUUGGGGUUUUGUAUUAUUUCUGAGUCAAUUUUGGUAAUAUGCUUUAAUAGGAAAUUGUCCACUUAAAUUUUCAACUUUAUGGUAUAAGGUUAUUUAAGUUAUCCCAAUAAUUUUAAACUCUUAUGUUUAUAGUUGUCCUUUUUUUCAUGGUUUGUUCAUGCUUAAUUUUUCUGCAGAUAUCCAGUAGUCUUUAAAGAACAAGCUUUUGGCUUUCGACAAUCCUCAGUUGAAUCUUUGUUUCUGUUUCAUUAAUCCCUUCUGAUACUAUUACUUCUCCCCUCUCUCUACUUUCUUUAUCUUUACUCUUGUAUUUCCCCUAACUUCCUAAGUUGGGGAUUUAGCUCAUUGAUAUAAAUAUUUCUUUUCUUUUCUAAUUGUAAUGCCCAUUCUCAGACAGACAAUUACACAAUCACAGCAAACCUCCCUUGAAUCAGCUUCACUUAGAAGAAUACGAACAAGAAACACAGCAUGCCUUCAGGCCAGGAUCAGACACUGCUCUUCAUAGCAGUCCUCACAGUAGUUCAAGGACUAGUGUCUUGUUUUUAAAAUGAGGAAAUUGAGACCUAGAGAAAGAAACAGUUUGACAAAAAUCAACAGCAAGCUGGACCUAGACCCUAGGUCCUUUGUCUCUUUUCUCUGUUGUACUAAUUGGAAAACUAAGAUAACUGUUUAAGUAGUCGCUGUACCUCCCAUAGUGUCAUAAUAUCUUUGACUCUCUGCUUCAGUUUCUUCAUCUGUCAACUAGAAAUACCAUCCUUCCCGGCCAGGUGCAGUGGCUCACGCCUGUAAUCCCAGCACUUUGGGAGGCCGAGGCGGGAGGAUCACCUGAGGUCGGGCAUUCGAGACCAGCCUGACCAACAUGGAGAAACCCCGUCUCUACUAAAAAAAAUACAAAAUUAGCCGGUCCUGGUGGCACAUGCCUGUAAUCCCAGCUACUCGGGAGGUUGAGGCAGGAGAAUAGCUUGAACCCGGGAGGCGGAGGUUGCGGUGAGCCGAAAUUGUGCCACUGCACUCCAGCCUGGGCAACAAGGGCGAAACUCUGUCUCCAAAAAACAAAAAGAAAGAAAGAAAGAAAAAAAAAGAAAUACGAUCCUUUUCUUGUCCCUCCCAGAUCACAAUCUUUGGAAAAAAAAGAGCCGCCCAUAUUUAAGAGUUUUUGUUUGGUUGUUUGGAUGUGUUGUUAGGGAUGUGUCGGGGUAGAUGUGUGCUGAGUCGGCUGGUGGGGGAGGUGGAGGUUAUUGUGGGUAAGUAUCAUUAAAAACUGACCCUGCUCAUGAUGGAAUCUGGUUGAGGUCAAGAUAUCUUGGUUUGCAUGAUCCAUGAUCUUAGCGUUUAUCAUUUAAAAUUAGCACUAAAGUGAGUUCCCCACAUAUAAGUAACUUUUAGCUCUUAAAAUUACAUCAGUGGGUACAGCAGGUCCCCAUAGAAUUCAACAGAGGAGAGAAGUUUUGCUCA